RNAcentral lists this ribosomal RNA (326 nucleotides) under uncultured eukaryote. Its description in RNAcentral is "partial 18S ribosomal RNA". It matches the Rfam family "Eukaryotic small subunit ribosomal RNA", at positions 1470 to 1796 of the family's 1831-position model. The record is from RNAcentral.
CCCUUAGAUGCCCUGGGCUGCACGCGCGCUACACUGAUGCAUUCAACGAGUCCAACCUUGACCGAGAGGUCCGGGUAAUCUUUGAAACUGCAUCGUGAUGGGGCUAGAUUAUUGCAAUUAUUAAUCUUCAACGAGGAAUGCCUAGUAAGCGUGAUUCAUCAAAUCGCGUUGAUUACGUCCCUGCCCUUUGUACACACCGCCCGUCGCUCCUACCGAUUGAGUGUGUUGGUGAGGAGUUUGGAUUGGCCUCGGAAGGUGGUUCGCCACCGUCCGUAGCUGAGAAGUUCUCCAAACCGCCCCACUUAGAGGAAGGAGAAGUCGUANCA